Molecule: ribosomal RNA, 486 nt
Filed under: Triticum aestivum (bread wheat)
Lineage: Eukaryota; Viridiplantae; Streptophyta; Magnoliopsida; Poales; Poaceae
Description: partial small subunit ribosomal RNA
Source: RNAcentral
AUGACGAGCUCCUCCACGCCGUCCCGCAAGGCGCUGAGCAAGAUCGCCUGCAACCGGCUGCAGAAGGAGCUCGCCGAGUGGCAGGUCGGCCCGCCCGCCGGCUUCAAGUACAAGGUCUCCGACAACCUCCAGAGAUGGGUGAUCGAGGUGGGCGGCGCCGAGGGCACGCUCUACGCCGGCGAGACGUACCAGCUGCAGGUCGACUUCCCCGAGCAUUACCCCAUGGAGGCACCUCAGGUCAUUUUCCUCAACCCGGCGCCGAUGCACCCGCACAUUUACAGCAACGGGCACAUCUGCUUAGAUAUACUGUAUGACUCGUGGUCGCCUGCGAUGACUGUAAGUUCAGUCUGUAUCAGCAUUUUGUCGAUGCUGUCUAGCUCGCCAGCAAAGCAACGCCCGGCGGACAAUGAUCGCUACGUUAGGAACUGCCGCAACGGGAGGUCGCCCAAGGAGACCCGAUGGUGGUUUCAUGACGACAAAGUAUGA